AGGGUUUGAUCCUGGCUCAGGAUGAACGCUAGCGGCAGGCCUAACACAUGCAAGUCGAGGGGUAACAGGGUUUUCGGACCGCUGACGACCGGCGCACGGGUGCGUAACGCGUAUGCAACCUACCUUUAACAGGAAGAUAGCCCCGAGAAAUCGGGAUUAAUACUCCAUAACACUAAGAAGUGGCAUCACUUUUUAUUUAAAGCUUCGGCGGUUAAAGAUGGGCAUGCGUGACAUUAGUUAGUUGGUAAGGUAACGGCUUACCAAGACUUCGAUGUCUAGGGGUUCUGAGAGGAUUAACCCCCACACUGGUACUGAGACACGGACCAGACUCCUACGGGAGGCAGCAGUGAGGAAUAUUGGGCAAUGGACGCAAGUCUGACCCAGCCAUGCCGCGUGAAGGAUGAAGGCCUUAUGGGUUGUAAACUUCUUUUAUACGGGAAUAAACUUAGCUAUGUAUAGUUAACUGCAGGUACCGUACGAAUAAGCACCGGCUAACUCCGUGCCAGCAGCCGCGGUAAUACGGAGGGUGCAAGCGUUAUCCGGAUUUAUUGGGUUUAAAGGGUCCGCAGGCGGACCAGUAAGUCAGUGGUGAAAUCUCUC
RNAcentral lists this ribosomal RNA (600 nucleotides) under uncultured bacterium. Its description in RNAcentral is "bacterial SSU rRNA". It matches the Rfam family "Bacterial small subunit ribosomal RNA", at positions 8 to 605 of the family's 1533-position model. The record is from RNAcentral.